RNAcentral lists this ribosomal RNA (258 nucleotides) under Triticum aestivum (bread wheat). RNAcentral describes it as "partial small subunit ribosomal RNA". The record is from RNAcentral. Lineage: Eukaryota; Viridiplantae; Streptophyta; Magnoliopsida; Poales; Poaceae.
AUGUGUCAAGCGGAUGCUUCAGGAGUCAAACAUGUGCCGGGGGCAAGGAGGAAUCUAAUUUCGCUUGGAGUUCUUCAUGAGGGUGGUAUGGUAUUCCGUUGUCAUUGGGAUAAGAAGACCAUGAGAAUCAUGAAAGAUGAGGUAAUCGUGAUUGUUGAAGAGAGGACAGCUUCGCAUCUUUACAAGUUGCAAGGGAGCACUAUUGCAGGUGGAGUCACGGAGACUGGAGUUGUGGGAGUAGCAGCGAGGUCUCAAUAG